Molecule: non-coding RNA, 348 nt
Organism: Cinara cedri
Lineage: Eukaryota; Metazoa; Arthropoda; Insecta; Hemiptera; Aphididae
Source: the annotation of a GenBank genome assembly
AAUAUAUAUGUGACCAUUAUGUAUAAAAACUUCGCUAGCGUAAAAAAUCAUCAUGUUGAAUUAGCAACUAGGAACCUUGUGAACUGGUCGCCGCCGGAAGAAAACUACUGCUGCUGCCGACCGAUUGCCGAUGAGCACCAGCCACCUCAGAAAUUCUUUCUCACAUUAGUACCAUCACCGAUCUAAAUCAACCAGUUAUUUUGAGGGAUAACACUGGAACAUCUGUCACUAACCCUCCAGUCAGAGAGUAACACCACCGACACUCACACUACUACAUCGGGUGCAACACGAUUGAGAACGUUUUACUUUUUUUAUGACACGAUUAUGAACAAAUGUUGCUUAUCAAAG